UACGAGAACCCCAAGCGUUAUCCGGAAUCAUUGGGCGUAAAGGGUGUGUAGGUGGCGAUGUUAGUCUUCUGUCAAAAUCUUGGGCUUAACCCAAGUCUUGCAGAGGAAACGGCAUUGCUUGAGGGUGCGAGAGGUGAAUGGAACUCAUGGAGUAGGGGUGAAAUCCGUUGAUAUCAUGGGGAACACCAAAAGCGAAGGCAAUUCACUGGCGCAUUUCUGACACUGAGACACGAAAGCGUGGGUAGCGAACGGG
RNAcentral lists this ribosomal RNA (253 nucleotides) under uncultured bacterium. RNAcentral describes it as "partial 16S ribosomal RNA". It matches the Rfam family "Bacterial small subunit ribosomal RNA", at positions 524 to 776 of the family's 1533-position model. The record is from RNAcentral.